RNAcentral lists this ribosomal RNA (227 nucleotides) under uncultured bacterium. RNAcentral describes it as "partial 16S ribosomal RNA". It matches the Rfam family "Bacterial small subunit ribosomal RNA", at positions 28 to 253 of the family's 1533-position model. The record is from RNAcentral.
GACGAACGCUGGCGGCGUGCUUAACACAUGCAAGUCGAGCGGUAAGGCCCUUUCGGGGGUACGACGAGCGGCGAACGGGUGAGUAACACGUGGGUGACCUGCCCUCAGCUCUGGGAGUAAGCCUGGGAAACCGGGGUCUAAUACUGGAUAUGACUCCAUGACGCAUGUUGUGGGGUGGAAAGCCUUGUGCGGCUGAGGAUGGGCCCGCGGCCUAUCAGCUUGUUGGU